CCCUUAGAUGUUCUGGGCUGCACGCGCGCUACACUGAUGCGCUCAACGAGUUUACGACCUUGCCCGGAAGGGUUGGGUAAUCUUUUUAAAACGCAUCGUGAUGGGGAUAGAUUAUUGCAAUUAUUAAUCUUUAACGAGGAAUUCCUAGUAAGCGCGAGUCAUCAGCUCGUGCUGAUUACGUCCCUGCCCUUUGUACACACCGCCCGUCGCUCCUACCGAUUGAAUGGUUUAGUGAGGCCUUCGGAUCCGCGACUCGUUUUGUGGAGAAGUUGGACAAACUCAGUCAUUUAGAGGAAGUAAAAGUCGUAACA
RNAcentral lists this ribosomal RNA (311 nucleotides) under uncultured eukaryote. RNAcentral's name for it is "partial 18S ribosomal RNA". It matches the Rfam family "Eukaryotic small subunit ribosomal RNA", at positions 1470 to 1796 of the family's 1831-position model. The record is from RNAcentral.